AAGUCGAGCGGGAACCUGGGAAGGGGUAACCCUCCCCAGGGGAGAGCGGCGAACGGGUGCGUAACACGUGGGCAACCUGCCCCGGACACCGGGAUAACCCAGGGAAACCUGAGCUAAUACCGGAUACUCCGGCGCGAUCGCAUGGUCGUGCCGGGAAAGCUCCGACGAUCCGGGAUGGGCCCGCGGCCUAUCAGCUCGUUGGUGGGGUAACGGCCCACCAAGGCGACGACGGGUAGCUGGUCUGAGAGGACGGCCAGCCACACUGGGACUGAGACACGGCCCAGACUCCUACGGGAGGCAGCAGUGGGGAAUCUUGCGCAAUGGGCGAAAGCCUGACGCAGCGACGCCGUGUGGGGGAUGAAGGCCUUCGGGUUGUAAACCCCUGUCGGGUGGAACGAAUCCCCCGAGGACGAAUACUCCUCGGGGUUGACGGUACCGCCGGAGGAAGCCCCGGCUAACUACGUGCCAGCA
This 471-nucleotide ribosomal RNA is filed under the name uncultured bacterium. RNAcentral describes it as "bacterial SSU rRNA". It matches the Rfam family "Bacterial small subunit ribosomal RNA", at positions 59 to 513 of the family's 1533-position model. The record is from RNAcentral.